CUCAGAGUCCUAGAAAAGAGUCUUUUCAUCCUAAUUCCAUACAAGCCUGAGGCCUGAAUUCGGAGCCCUUCAACCUCUUUUAAUCUAAGAAGGAGAUGGUCUCUUUUAGAAACGCCUUCAGCUUCUUACCCCUUGCUGUUCUGACAGAGUCUAACUCAGCAGGGGUUCGUGAAGGCUUAUGAAGUGAAGGCAGAUCAGAGCUAGAAGGUAUCUUUUCCCCUUUGCUUCCCGGGGAGUGGCUGGGUGUUUGCACUGCUUUCCAUACCUGUUCAAAGAUCUCACGAACGUAGAAGUGUCGGCUGAGGGUGGAGCUGUAGGAGUUCAGUUCUUUCAGUAUGAUCACGGGGUACUCCAUCACCUCCUUUGUCAGGAGCUUGUGGAAACACUCAUACCUGGGGGGGUGGGGUAGGCGAGACCACUGUCUAAGGGGGGGGCCACUCCACCGAGUGUGGGAGACCCCGACCAAGAGCCCUGCCCCAGGCCGCUGGGAGAUGGGCUGGGGGCCACAGUUCUCUCCACACAGAGCCACUGUCUGUGUUUCCUUUCACUCUGGCAAUCCUUGGUUUGUUUUGCUCUUUUUCGGAUCCUACAAGGAAUACACACUCUUUGUAGAAUAUUUGGAAAACAUACACCAGGAGAGUUCUCUGUUGGAACAUGGGUUCCCAUUUCCUGUCCACAGUCUUAACCCUGUCCUUGAACUUUACCUACAUCAUCCCACCAAACACUCCAAUGCCCCAGGGAUCAGGCCUUUAUCUGUUUCCCAGGUGAAUCUUCAGUGUUUCCUCGUGGCUUUGCUGCCUCAGCUGGUCCAAGAGCUUAUCAAGGGGCUCCUUGGGGCCCUGGGGCCGCACCUGCUCCUCCGGGCUGUGCCUGUGCCGCUGUUGCUCCAGCCUCUUCUCCAGCCCCAGAUCCUGCACCGACAGCAGGCUCUGAUGUGUCUCCCACAGCUGCACGGCCUCUUGGAAGUAGCUGAAGAGAUCCGAGCUCUGCCAUUCUGUCUGCUUUGCCAGGCCCUCAAAGGAUUUCUGCAGCAGCAGAACCCAGAGAAGGGGCUUUAAAGGCCAACUGGCCCAGGGUGAGGGGAAGGCCCCCCCCCCCACAGGGCUCCCUCACCAGCCAGUAGAGGGCCCACCUCUCCAAGGACUGGCCGUCGCUGCCUGGGCACCAAUCCCUCGGGGUCAUCUUCCUGGGUCACACUUUGGCUCAUGGCCCUCCCUCCUCUGGGACAGCUUCUGGUCUGCCCAAAGCUACGCCCUCAGUCUGGCUGACCCCGAAGGCCCAUCUCUAGACCUGUCCCAUAUCCACUGAAGUCACUCGUGGGAGGAAGGAGAAGUGUGGAGCCUCAAAGAAAGCAGGAGCCACCAGACACCAGUUCCAAAGAACUCCUUCUUUGGAGUUCCCUGAUUCUUAGCAUCUGAGCCAAACACCACACUCUGCUGUUAAAUCCUCACCUCUCCCCAUUUUAUGGAUGUAUUUUAUGCUCUCAUUGGGGCCAGGGGUCAACAAACUUAGCCUAGGAACUAAAUUUGGCCCUCUA
RNAcentral lists this long non-coding RNA (1537 nucleotides) under Zalophus californianus (California sea lion). Its description in RNAcentral is "lncRNA (ENSZCAG00015017565.1)". The record is from RNAcentral. Lineage: Eukaryota; Metazoa; Chordata; Mammalia; Carnivora; Otariidae.